This 663-nucleotide long non-coding RNA is filed under the name Malus domestica (apple). Its description in RNAcentral is "long non-coding RNA (MDOM_LNC020246)". Lineage: Eukaryota; Viridiplantae; Streptophyta; Magnoliopsida; Rosales; Rosaceae. The record is from RNAcentral.
GUGAAUGUUACAAACUUGGAUUAAUUACAAGUUUGCCACUCACUUGUAAUAAAGUAUAAAAGCAACUUUAUAGCUUUAUUUUCAUUAGGGUUUUCUUUGAGGCAAAGAGGUGAAACAUUUUCUCUCUUUCUCUCUACAAAGAGGCCGGCCACUUAGAGGAGAUUAAUCUAGCAAUCUUUUCUUCUCUAAGUCAUCCAUUUCAUCUUCACACCUCACCCUUGGUGUGGAGACUUAGAGACACCAAACCUUUGGUGUUUUUGGAGAUCCUUUCCUCACAUCCUCAAGGACCAAAGGAGCACAAAAGGAGAAGGAAAUCACAAGCAAGAUCCAAGGAGCUUGGAGGUGACUUGAAGGCCCUCCACUUGGGUGAAUCCCUUGUGUAAACAAGGAUGAGCUUCAAGGGUAAAGAAUCUCUAAAUCUUUUCUUCUCUUUAAGUUUGUUAAAGAGUUUAUUGGUUCACCAUAUACUAGGCUUUGAAAGUCAUGGGUUUUAUGAAUUGUUUUUUAAUGCAUGCCUACUUUAAUGUGUUAAUAGUUUGCAUGUGUAUUCAAAUGUUCUUACUUGUUCUUAGGAAGGACAAAUUUUUUUCUUCAAUAAAGCCACCUGCUCCACCAAGGCGUCAACUGUCAAGGAACCCCUAAUUCCUUGACAAUUCCAACACA